Molecule: unclassified non-coding RNA, 417 nt
Filed under: Hevea brasiliensis (rubber tree)
Lineage: Eukaryota; Viridiplantae; Streptophyta; Magnoliopsida; Malpighiales; Euphorbiaceae
Source: RNAcentral
UGGUUCCUUUCCCCUGUUAUGCUUCGAUCCUCUCUCCUCCAAGGCUCUUCAAUGGCUGACUAGUGGACUCAAUUGGCUAGUUUUGUGGAGGAAGAUAGUCAUGAUCAAAGUCAACUGGUGCUGAUGGCCUUCCUUUUGUGGGGGGAAGAGUUGAAACAAUCUUGUUUUCAGAAAUGAAAGGAUGGAUCUUCGCCAUGUGAUCCGUAGAGUAUGGGGAUUUUAUUUCUACACUUGGUUCUGUCUCAUUGCCUUAAACGGAAAUCCAUCUUCCUUCAACAUGGUCAUCUCCUCCGCACUAGAGGGUGAAGGUAAAUUUUGAUGGAGCUGUUAAUAUGAAGGAAUGUAUUCAAAAUUAUGUGGCGGGAGUUUUUGUUAGUAGUUAGGCACAUGGGCUGAGUUGGAGCUAAAAAGUUACGG